Gossypium hirsutum (cotton) is the source of this 145-nucleotide non-coding RNA. NCBI's taxonomy places the organism in Eukaryota, Viridiplantae, Streptophyta, Magnoliopsida, Malvales, Malvaceae. The record is from Rfam.
UGUUAAAAAUUUCAUCCAAUUCUAUUGUAAAAAAUUGGCAUGACUGACAAAAUAACCAAAUAGUGACAUGUGGAGUGCUACAUGUACCUCAUGGUAACGUACAUAGACCAGUUUUUAACAAUCGAAGUGGAUGGAAUUUUUAAUA